Molecule: ribosomal RNA, 484 nt
Filed under: uncultured Bacteroidota bacterium
Lineage: Bacteria; Pseudomonadati; Bacteroidota
Description: bacterial SSU rRNA
Rfam family: Bacterial small subunit ribosomal RNA
Source: RNAcentral
GAUGAACGCUAGCGAUAGGCUUAACACAUGCAAGUCGAGGGGCAGCAUAGAGAUAGUUUACUAUUUCUGAUGGCGACCGGCGCACGGGUGAGUAACGCGUAUGCAAUCUACCUCAUACAAAGGGAUAGCCCGGAGAAAUUCGGAUUAAUACCAUAUGGUACUAACAGAUCGCAUGAUCUGUUAUUUAAAGAUUUAUCGGUAUAAGAUGAGCAUGCGUUCCAUUAGUUAGUUGGUAAGGUAACGGCUUACCAAGACAUCGAUGGAUAGGGGAACUGAGAGGUUUAUCCCCCACACUGGAACUGAGACACGGACCAGACUCCUACGGGAGCAGCAGUGAGGAAUAUUGGUCAAUGGGCGAGAGCCUGAACCAGCCAAGUCGCGUGAAGAUGACUGCCCUAUGGGUUGUAAACUUCUUUUAUAUAGGAAUAAAGGACGAUACGUGUAUUUGUUUGCAUGUACUAUAUGAAUAAGCAUCGGCUAACUU